CCCCCCCCAACAAAUUCUGUGUUAACUCAUGUAGGAUAUUUGCAUUAUUUAAGAUUAGUUUCAAACCUUUCUGAAGCUUUUUUUUUUCACAGGAAAUCCUCUAGUGGACCUUCAGGUAUGAGUGGAUCAAAGAGCUUACAGACCUUACAUCUAUUUUUCUCUCAACAUUUGGACUUGUAUACAAUGGUUGUGAAUCAAUUGAUUUAGAAUAGACUUUCAAAAUCUAGUCACAUGUAUAGGCAUUAGCAUGACUGCCAAAGGUUACAGUUCACUAAAUUGCACUAUACAGGUCUGAUGUCCCAGUGCUUGUGGUCCAUAUAACCUUCUAGUAGAUUCUCGUUUGAGCUACAAUUAUAAUUGCUCUGCCCUGCCCUUUGACAAAAACAUUGACCCAGCCCAUCUCAUAGCCAAUCGAGUGGACUAGUAGUGUAUCCAGUUGACUAGUCUUAUCAAAAUGUAUGUUACUACCUUUGUAAUGUCUGCCUGUAUUCCUGUGAUGAUACUUUGUAUGCUGACCUGCCAUGUUCUUCUAAUGCUUUCAACCAAUUGACUAACAGCAGAAAUCUUAAUAAAAAUGAAAUUCCUAAGUCUGAUGAACUAGAGAUCUUUAGGCUGAUACACAGGAUUGGACUCUCUUAAUGAUCUUCUGCUCAUGUGACUAUAAUUUAAAACAACAACAUUCUCUUUGGUUCAUCAGCUACUUGAGUUAUCUUUCUUGUUUGAGCUUGUCCUCAUAACAUGGUUUCACUUGAAUUGAUUUCUGGUUGACUUAUUUCAUUAAAGACAUUCUCUUACCAUCGCUAU
This is a non-coding RNA of Biomphalaria pfeifferi, 804 nucleotides long. The record is from the annotation of a GenBank genome assembly. Lineage: Eukaryota; Metazoa; Mollusca; Gastropoda; Planorbidae.